GAUUUGAUGUUUUGGAAACAUUGGAUUUUGAACGUCCUUAUAAGAUGUUCGAAUCAUCUUCAA
RNAcentral lists this transfer RNA (63 nucleotides) under Bimastos palustris. RNAcentral describes it as "partial tRNA-Ser". The record is from RNAcentral. Lineage: Eukaryota; Metazoa; Annelida; Clitellata; Crassiclitellata; Lumbricidae.